Molecule: ribosomal RNA, 415 nt
Filed under: uncultured bacterium
Lineage: Bacteria
Description: bacterial SSU rRNA
Rfam family: Bacterial small subunit ribosomal RNA
Source: RNAcentral
UAAGGAAUAUUGGUCAAUGGGCGCAAGCCUGAACCAGCCAUGCCGCGUGCAGGAAGACGGCCCUAUGGGUUGUAAACUGCUUUUGUCAGGGAAUAAACCCCCGCUCGUGAGCGGGGCUGAAGGUACCUGAAGAAUAAGCAUCGGCUAACUCCGUGCCAGCAGCCGCGGUAAUACGGAGGAUGCAAGCGUUAUCCGGAUUCAUUGGGUUUAAAGGGUGCGCAGGCGGAUGGGUAAGUCAGGGGUGAAAUCCCACAGCUCAACUGUGGAAGGGCCUUGGAUACUGUCAGUCUAGAGUAUAGUUGAGGGGGGCGGAAGGUGUCAUGUAGCGGUGAAAUGCUUAGAUAUGACACAGAACACCGAUCGCGACGGCAGCUCGCUAAGCUAUAACUGACGCUCAUGCACGAAAGCGUGGGGA